This 444-nucleotide long non-coding RNA is filed under the name Phoenix dactylifera (date palm). RNAcentral's name for it is "long non-coding RNA (PDAC_LNC014785)". The record is from RNAcentral. Lineage: Eukaryota; Viridiplantae; Streptophyta; Magnoliopsida; Arecales; Arecaceae.
AAGCAUCUGGUGGUUUUAUCAAAGUGCAUCCCCCAUGGGUGUGAGAAGAUUCCUUUAGUAGAGUACUUAUGAUAAGAGGGGCAGGUUAUGUGGUGAAGACAUUAAGUAAUUCAAAUAUUUAUUCAUGAAAUUUUGACUUUGCCCAAUCAUGUACUAGGUCUAAAAUAGGCUCAAUUUAGGAUGCAGGUGCAAGAAUGCUUGCUUAAUUAGAUGUAUGUAUCAUGGUUAGCCCACCUAAGAUGGGGUUAAUUGGGCAAUGCUGGGGUUAAAGUGAAUAAAAUUAGAUUUGGAUCGAAUGCAAUCAAGCAUGAAUGGAUAAGAUUGAAUGUGAUCAGGUUUGAUCGGAUGAGGUUUCUUCCUACACGCAUAUUCCAUAUAUUGGAAUUGGAUUAAGAAGCUUGAGUUGUUGAACAUUGUUGUAGGACAUCAAAAGAUAUGUAGCAG